UACGAAGGGGGCUAGCGUUGCUCGGAAUCACUGGGCGUAAAGCGCACGUAGGUGGGUCGUUAAGUCGGGGGUGAAAUCCUGGAGCUCAACUCCAGAACUGCCUUCGAUACUGGCGAUCUUCGAGUUCGGGAGAGGUGAGUGGAACUGCGAGUGUAGAGGUGAAAUUCGUAGAUAUUCGCAAGAACACCAGUGGCGAAGGCGGCUACCUGGACCGGUAUUGACGCUAAGGCGCGAAAGCGUGGGGAGCAUACAGG
Molecule: ribosomal RNA, 254 nt
Filed under: uncultured bacterium
Lineage: Bacteria
Description: partial 16S ribosomal RNA
Rfam family: Bacterial small subunit ribosomal RNA
Source: RNAcentral